Molecule: ribosomal RNA, 242 nt
Filed under: uncultured bacterium
Lineage: Bacteria
Description: partial 16S ribosomal RNA
Rfam family: Bacterial small subunit ribosomal RNA
Source: RNAcentral
GCAAGUCGAACGAGAAAGCCCCUUCGGGGGUGAGUAGAGUGGCGAACGGGUGAGUAACGCGUAAGAAUUUGCUCUUUAGUGAAGAAUACCCUCGAGAAAUCGGGGCUAAUACUGCAUAAGUCUCUUCGGAGAGAAAGGUGGCCUCUUGCUACCGCUAAAGAAUAAGCUUGCGUACUAUUAGCUUGUUGGUGAGGUAAAGGCUCACCAAGGCUAUGAUGGUUAGCCGGCCUGAGAGGGUGAUC